UGGGGAAUAUUGCACAAUGGGGGAAACCCUGAUGCAGCAACGCCGCGUGAGUGAUGACGGCCUUCGGGUUGUAAAGCUCUGUCUUCAGGGACGAUAAUGACGGUACCUGAGGAGGAAGCCACGGCUAACUCCGUGCCAGCAGCCGCGGUAAUACGUAGGUGGCAAGCGUUGUCCGGAUUUACUGGGCGUAAAGGGAGCGUAGGCGGACUUUUAAGUGAGAUGUGAAAUACCCGGGCUCAACCUGGGUGCUGCACUUCAAACUGGAAGUCUAGAGUGCAGGAGAGGGGAGUGGAAUUCCUAGUGUAGCGGUGAAAUGCGUAGAGAUUAGGAAGAACACCAGUGGCGAAGGCGACUCUCUGGACUGUAACUGACGCUGAGGCUCGAAAGCGUGGGGAGCAAACA
RNAcentral lists this ribosomal RNA (402 nucleotides) under uncultured bacterium. Its description in RNAcentral is "bacterial SSU rRNA". It matches the Rfam family "Bacterial small subunit ribosomal RNA", at positions 355 to 774 of the family's 1533-position model. The record is from RNAcentral.